This is a long non-coding RNA of Leptinotarsa decemlineata (Colorado potato beetle), 258 nucleotides long. The record is from RefSeq and is a predicted model, not a curated record. Lineage: Eukaryota; Metazoa; Arthropoda; Insecta; Coleoptera; Chrysomelidae.
UGAAAUUGACAUUCUAAUUUUUCAGAUCUUCAUGAAGACGCAGAGUCAGAAAUAAUUGCAGAUCAGGAACUCGAUUGUGAUUACUUUGAUGAUAAAAAUCAAGAUGAAAUACUAGAUUUGGAGACUUGAGAACACUGCCUGAAACUUUCGCUUUAUUGCCUGAAUCAUAGCACAAUUCUGAAUCACAUAUGGGGCAAAUUCUAGUCAUUUAUUGAAUAAGUGUAAUAAUUUAGGAAUAAAUUAUGCUUUACAAAGUAA